This 305-nucleotide ribosomal RNA is filed under the name uncultured bacterium. RNAcentral's name for it is "bacterial SSU rRNA". It matches the Rfam family "Bacterial small subunit ribosomal RNA", at positions 335 to 639 of the family's 1533-position model. The record is from RNAcentral.
AACCUACGGGGGGCAGCAGUGAGGAAUAUUGGUCAAUGGUCGGGAGGCUGAACCAGCCAAGCCGCGUGAGGGAUGAAGGUACAGAGUAUCGUAAACCUCUUUUGUCAGGGAACAAAGGCGGGGACGUGUCCCGGGAUGAGUGUACCUGAAGAAAAAGCAUCGGCUAACUCCGUGCCAGCAGCCGCGGUAAUACGGAGGAUGCGAGCGUUAUCCGGAUUUAUUGGGUUUAAAGGGUGCGCAGGCGGCCUGUUAAGUCAGCGGUAAAAUCCUGGGGCUCAACCCCGGCGAGCCGUUGAAACCGGCGG